Molecule: non-coding RNA, 30 nt
Filed under: Rattus norvegicus (Norway rat)
Lineage: Eukaryota; Metazoa; Chordata; Mammalia; Rodentia; Muridae
Source: RNAcentral
UGAGGACAUUAUACCCUUUACCUUCAGAGA